UAGGUGAACUGCGGUAGGAUCAUU
This 24-nucleotide ribosomal RNA is filed under the name Hesperocyparis forbesii. RNAcentral's name for it is "partial 18S rRNA". Lineage: Eukaryota; Viridiplantae; Streptophyta; Pinopsida; Cupressales; Cupressaceae. The record is from RNAcentral.